Molecule: long non-coding RNA, 1250 nt
Filed under: Nicotiana benthamiana
Lineage: Eukaryota; Viridiplantae; Streptophyta; Magnoliopsida; Solanales; Solanaceae
Description: long non-coding RNA (NBEN_LNC035677)
Source: RNAcentral
AAAAUUGCACAUAUAUAGAGAAAAGUAAAGUUUAAACACCGAUAGGGGGUCCUAGUUUGGUUAGCCUAAAGGAUCACCCCAUACAAUGCCCGGUAAUCACUCCUCAAUGAGGGGCUAUACAUCACAUUAGCGCAUAGUCAACAUAUCCUUACUAUCCAUUUCCCUCCCCUUGGUCAUAGCCUAACGCGUUCUAAUAACCGUGAUAUAUGUCCUAUGCAUUCAUUACCCGUCCCUUCCUUGUGACCCUGGAGGUAUUUAAGACCUCUAAUUUAGGUAGUUCUAGAACUUCCUAAGGUUUUAAAGGAUAAAAGUCUAGUUGCCAAUCAAAAACAAUGAGCACUACAUUUAGAAAGAACAAAUUACAAGCUCACAGUCACCUCCACAAAUAUAACAAGUAAGUGCAUGUCAUCAAACAACAGUCAAGUAUUUACGAGAAAAUUCUAGAACAUGAUAUCUAAGUGAGCAUGGAUUAUAAAUCAUUCAAUUAGGACCAAGCAUCAAAGAUCUAUUUAGAUUUCCUACUGAUUUUUGACAUGUGAAUGUGAACAGUCUCGAAUAACAAGACACAGUUUUAUAGUUGUAGGAUUUUAAUUGCCCUAGAAGCUUUCCUAAACACAUAGCAGUGACGUCCUAAAAGAAUGGUAUCUAUAUUGAUUAGGAAUAUAGCAAAAUAGUAAAAUAAUUUUUAAACGAAUACUUGAGAUCCUAUAGAUAUGCUUUCUAGAAGUACUAAUUUUAAGGUAGUGACUAAAACUUAUUAAAGAAACGAACAGAUUAAUUACUUAAGCCGAUUCAGAAUAUAUAAACAUGAAUUCGAACUGAUUUAUUUAACUGAACUAUUUUUAAGUCCUAUUGACAUAAUCUCUAGUUAAGCAAAGUAAAAAACGAACAAUAUUCAUUAAACCAAAGUGAAAUCCUAAGGCAAGGUAUCUAUAGAGCUGAUCUUAACCCUAUACGCAUGAUCCCUAUUAUUAAAGUCAUUUUUAGGUCCUAUAGGUAUGAUUUCUAAUUGUGAAAGUAAAGCAAAUAUAGCAAACACAUUUGAAUAAACAUGUCCCUAUAGGCAUGGUAUCUACCUAAUUUACCCAACAUAUAUAUAACUACACACCCUUUUUCACUAAUUACCCCAAUGUUUGUUUACAAAAAUUAUUACAGACCAAUGAAUUAAAUCGAAAAUACAUAAUUAAAUGAUAGUUAAUCUAUAGGGAGCCUACAAUAGGUCCAAAUGACUUCCCAGUCUCCAAUAUUCU